RNAcentral lists this small RNA (111 nucleotides) under Mesoflavibacter zeaxanthinifaciens subsp. sabulilitoris. RNAcentral describes it as "Flavo-1 RNA". It matches the Rfam family "Flavo-1 RNA". The record is from RNAcentral. Lineage: Bacteria; Pseudomonadati; Bacteroidota; Flavobacteriia; Flavobacteriales; Flavobacteriaceae.
UUUGAGUAAGCGCGUUAGCGAUAGUAACGACAUCCUUUUUUUGCUGCUUUUACUUUAGGGUUAAGCUUUAAUCAUUUGCAAAAAAAGAUAUAGUGAAUAGCGCGACCCUUG